GACGAACGCUGGCGGCGUGCUUAACACAUGCAAGUCGAACGGAAAGGCCCUGCUUGCAGGGUACUCGAGUGGCGAACGGGUGUGUAACACGUGGGCGAUCUGCCCUGCAUUUCGGGAUAAGCCUGGGAAACUGGGCCUAUUACCGGUUAGGAGCCAUUCUUAGUGUGAUGGUUGGAAAGUCUUUUCGGUGUAGGGUGAGCUCGCGGCCUAUCAGCUUGUUGGUGGGGUAAUGGCCUACCAAGGCGGCGACUGGUAGCCGGCCUGAGGGGGUGGCCGGCCACAUUGAGACUGAGGUACGGCCGAGACGCCUACGGGAGGAAGCAGGGGGGAAGAUUGCACAAUGGGCGCAAGCCGGGUGCAGCGGCGCCGCGUGGGGGAUGACGGCCUUCGGGUUGUAAACAACUUUCGCUAGGGACGAAGCUUUUUGUGACGGUACCUAGAUAAGAAGCACCGGCUAACUACGUG
RNAcentral lists this ribosomal RNA (465 nucleotides) under uncultured bacterium. RNAcentral describes it as "partial 16S ribosomal RNA". It matches the Rfam family "Bacterial small subunit ribosomal RNA", at positions 28 to 507 of the family's 1533-position model. The record is from RNAcentral.